RNAcentral lists this long non-coding RNA (728 nucleotides) under Homo sapiens (human). RNAcentral's name for it is "HSALNT0365597". Lineage: Eukaryota; Metazoa; Chordata; Mammalia; Primates; Hominidae. The record is from RNAcentral.
CUUAAAACUUUUCACCAUUGAGAAUGAUGGUAGCUCCAGAUUUGUCACAUAUGGCUUUAUUGUGUUGUGGUCCAUUCCCUCUACGUCUAAUGUGUUGAGAGUUUUUGUGAUGAAAUGGUGUUAAAUCUUGUCGAAUGGUUUUUCUGCAUUUAUUGAGAUGAUCAUAGGAUUUUUAUCUUUCAUUCUGUUGAUGUGGUGUAUUACAUUAAUUGGUUUGUGUAUGUUGACUCAUCCUUGCUUCUCUGGGAUAAAUCCUACUUAAUCAUGGUGAAUAAUUCUUUUUUUAAAUUAUACUUUAAGUUCUAGGGUACAUGUGCACAACGUGCAGGUUUGUUACAUAUGUAUACAUGUGCCAUAUUGGUGUGCUGCAGCCAUUAACUCGUCAUUUACAUUAGGUAUAUCCCCUAAUGCUCUCCCUCCCCCCUCCCUCUACCCCACGACAGGCCUGGGUGUGUGAUGUUCCCCAUCCGGUGUCCAAGUGUUCUUAUUGCUAAAUUCCCACCUAUGAGUGAGAACAUAUGGCGUUUGAUUUCCUGUCCUUGCGAUAGUUUGCUCAGAAUGAUGGUUUCCAGCUUCAUCCAUAUCCCUACAAAGGACAUGAACUCAUCCUUUUUUAUGGCUGCAUAGUAUUCCAUGGUGUAUAUGUGCCACAUUUUCUUAAUCCAGUCCGUCACUGAUGGACAUUUGGGUUGGUUCCAAGUCUUUGCUAUUGUAAAUAGUGCCGCAGU